UUUUUUUUUUUUUUUUUUUUUUGGAAUGCUCGAUUUGUCUUUUUAACGUUUCCCCCUCCCCUCCCCUCCCUCUCCCCCGGAUUUUCGAGAAACACGUUUAACCAUCGAGAUGCGUGGUACACAAUACAUGUGUAUAUCAAAAUAAUUUCGAGCGAGUUGAUAGUCGGUCGUGUUUAUUUUUUUCAUUAGUGGAAUGUGAAUCGAUCCCGUUCUCAUUAUACGUUUCUUUCGUGUUUUUAUUUUUUUUUUCACUCGCGAUCGCAGCCGAACGAAUAUGUAAUUAUGCCUAAUAAUAAUAAUAAUAAUAUGUAUAUUAUAGAAUCGAAGCACAGCGUUUCUCUCUCUCCCCCCCCUCUCUCUAUAUAUAUAUAAAAAAAAAAAAAAAUGAAUAAUAAUAAAACAACUACCUACCUAAAUAUGUCGUAAUGAUAUGAUUAGAGUUUUCUUAUAUAAAAAAAAAAAAAAAAAAAACUAAAAAAACAACAAAAAAAAA
Cinara cedri is the source of this 493-nucleotide non-coding RNA. The record is from the annotation of a GenBank genome assembly. Lineage: Eukaryota; Metazoa; Arthropoda; Insecta; Hemiptera; Aphididae.